CCUACGGGUGGCAGCAGUGAGGAAUAUUGGUCAAUGGGCGAGAGCCUGAACCAGCCAAGUCGCGUGAGGGAAGAAGGUACAGCGUAUCGUAAACCUCUUUUGUCAGGGAACAAAGGCGGGGACUAGUCCCCGGAUGAGGGUACCUGAAGAAAAAGCAUCGGCUAACUCCGUGCCAGCAGCCGCGGUAAUACGGAGGAUGCGAGCGUUAUCCGGAUUUAUUGGGUUUAAAGGGUGCGCAGGCGGCCUGUUAAGUCAGCGGGAAAAGCCCGGGGCUCAACCCCGGCGAGCCGUUGAAACUGGCGGGCUGGAGUUGGAGAGAAGUACGCGGAAUGCGCGGUGUAGCGGUGAAAUGCUUAGAUAUCGCGCAGAACCCCGAUUGCGAAGGCAGCGUACCGGCUCCACACUGACGCUGAGGCACGAAAGCGUGGGUAUCGAACAGGAUUAGAUACCCCAGUAGUC
Molecule: ribosomal RNA, 459 nt
Filed under: uncultured bacterium
Lineage: Bacteria
Description: partial 16S ribosomal RNA
Rfam family: Bacterial small subunit ribosomal RNA
Source: RNAcentral